This 18-nucleotide unclassified non-coding RNA is filed under the name Chlamydomonas reinhardtii. RNAcentral describes it as "small RNA Cre_1107". The record is from RNAcentral. Lineage: Eukaryota; Viridiplantae; Chlorophyta; Chlorophyceae; Chlamydomonadales; Chlamydomonadaceae.
CCGGACCGGUGCGCGGCG